RNAcentral lists this ribosomal RNA (366 nucleotides) under Ranitomeya fantastica (red-headed poison frog). RNAcentral's name for it is "partial 12S ribosomal RNA". It matches the Rfam family "Bacterial small subunit ribosomal RNA", at positions 875 to 1396 of the family's 1533-position model. The record is from RNAcentral. Lineage: Eukaryota; Metazoa; Chordata; Amphibia; Anura; Dendrobatidae.
GGGAACUACGAGCCGAGCUUAAAACCCAAAGGACUUGACGGUACCCCAUAUCCCCCUAGAGGAGCCUGUCCUAUAAUCGAUAACCCCCGUUUUACCUCACCAUUUCUAGCAACUCAGCCUGUAUACCUCCGUCGUCAGCUUACCACGUGAGCGCUAGUGAGCUCAAUGUUUUUUCAACUAAACGUCAGGUCAAGGUGCAACACAUGAAAUGGGAAGAGAUGGGCUACACUUUUAAGAUAGAUCACACGGAAGACUAACUAUGAAAUCUUAGUCCAGAAGGGCCGGAUUUAGUAAGUUAAAAACCCAACCCCGAAAAGUCCCUUUUUUUAACCCCGGCCACUGGGGGGUGUUGGACCACACCGGCCC